GAUGAAUGCUGGCGGCGUGCCUAAUACAUGCAAGUCGAGCGGUAAGGCCCUUCGGGGUACACGAGCGGCGGACGGCUGAGUAACGCGUGGGAACAUGCCCCAAAGUGAGGGAUAACGCACCGAAAGGUGUGCUAAUACCGCAUAUGGUCUUCGGAUUAAAGGAUUUAUCCGCUUUGGGAGUGGCCCGCGUACGAUUAGAUUGUUGGUGAGGUAACGGCUCACCAAGUCGACGAUCGUUAACUGGUCUGAGAGGAUGAUCAGUCAGACUGGAACUGAGACACGGUCCAGACUCCUACGGGAGGCAGCAGUAAGGAAUCUUCCACAAUGGGCGAAAGCCUGAUGGAGCAACGCCGCGUGCAGGAUGAAGGCCCUCGGGUCGUAAACUGCUUUAUGAGUGAAGAAUAUGACGGUAACUCAUGAAUAAGCACCGGCUAACUACGUGCCAGCAGCCG
RNAcentral lists this ribosomal RNA (452 nucleotides) under uncultured bacterium. RNAcentral describes it as "bacterial SSU rRNA". It matches the Rfam family "Bacterial small subunit ribosomal RNA", at positions 28 to 517 of the family's 1533-position model. The record is from RNAcentral.